RNAcentral lists this transfer RNA (66 nucleotides) under Ochotona hyperborea (northern pika). RNAcentral describes it as "tRNA-Trp". The record is from RNAcentral. Lineage: Eukaryota; Metazoa; Chordata; Mammalia; Lagomorpha; Ochotonidae.
AAGUUUAGGUUAAACCAGACCAAGAGCCUUCAAAGCUCUAAGCAAGUAGUUCAUACUUAACUUCUG